UGCCAGACUCCUACGGGAGGCAGCAGUGGGGGAUAUUGCACAAUGGGGGGAACCCUGAUGCAGCGACGCCGCGUGGGUGAAGGAGCGUUUCGGCGCGUAAAGCCCUAUCGGCAGGGAAGAAGGAGGACGGUACCUGACUAAGAAGCCCCGGCUAACUACGUGCCAGCAGCCGCGGUAAUACGUAGGGGGCAAGCGUUAUCCGGAUUUACUGGGUGUAAAGGGGACGCAGACGGCUGCGCAAGUCAGAAGUGAAAGCCCGGGGCUCAACCGUGGGACUGCUUUUGAAACUGUAUAGCUAGAGUGCAGGAGAGGUAAGUGGAAUUCCUAGUGUAGCGGUGAAAUGCGUAGAUAUUAGGAGGAACACCGGUGGCGAAGGCGGCUUACUGGACUGUAACUGACGUUGAGGCUCGAAAGCGUGGGGAGCAAACAGGAUUAGAUACCCCGGUAACG
This 450-nucleotide ribosomal RNA is filed under the name uncultured bacterium. RNAcentral describes it as "partial 16S ribosomal RNA". It matches the Rfam family "Bacterial small subunit ribosomal RNA", at positions 329 to 793 of the family's 1533-position model. The record is from RNAcentral.